RNAcentral lists this ribosomal RNA (633 nucleotides) under Aplomerus lineatulus. RNAcentral's name for it is "partial large subunit ribosomal RNA". The stretch from base 456 to 633 matches the Rfam family "Eukaryotic large subunit ribosomal RNA", at positions 665 to 810 of the family's 3401-position model. The record is from RNAcentral. Lineage: Eukaryota; Metazoa; Arthropoda; Insecta; Hymenoptera; Ichneumonidae.
AGAGAUUCAUCGUCAGCGACCCCGUCUCCUGUGCGGCUCGCGAUUUCGUCACGGGGGUAGCUUCGGCGAUCCCGUGGGCGGAACGCGUCCGCGCGGUCUCGGGUGUCGUCGGCGUGCACUUCUCGCCUAGUAGGACGUCGCGACCCGUUGGGUGUCGGUCUACGGCCCGGGUGUGUCGCCUGCACCGUCGCUUCGGCGUCGCGGUGCAGACCCCCGGUAGCCCGACCGGCUGCCCGACGGUACUCGCACGGUAUCGAGCCGCAGCAAUUUGAACUGCGUCCGUCGCGCCGCANGCCGUAUCAGUGUCAACCCGGACGCCACGGACCUAGAAGCCGUCGCCGGGCCUGAUCGGCUGUUGGUCGGCGCUGCACUUGGACAGGCUCGCAAAUUGAAUUAUGAUACCGGUCGGCGACGCUACUGCUUUGGGUACUUUCAGGACCCGUCUUGAAACACGGACCAAGGAGUCUAACAUGUGCGCGAGUCAUUGGGUACAUGCAAGCCUAAAGGCGCAAUGAAAGUGAAGGUCGGCCUCGCGCCGACCGAGGGAGGAUGGACCGUGUCCCGAUGCGGUCCCGCACUCCCGGGGCGUCUCGCUCUCAUCGCGAGAAGAGGCGCACCCAGAGCGUACACGUU